This 433-nucleotide ribosomal RNA is filed under the name uncultured bacterium. RNAcentral's name for it is "partial 16S ribosomal RNA". It matches the Rfam family "Bacterial small subunit ribosomal RNA", at positions 29 to 507 of the family's 1533-position model. The record is from RNAcentral.
AACGAACGCUGGCGGCAUGCCUAACACAUGCAAGUCGAACGAGACCUUCGGGUCUAGUGGCGCACGGGUGCGUAACGCGUGGGAACCUGCCCUUAGGUUCGGAAUAACUCCCCGAAAGGGGUGCUAAUACCGGAUAAUGUCUUCGGACCAAAGAUUUAUCGCCUUUGGAUGGGCCCGCGUUGGAUUAGCUAGUUGGUAGGGUAAAAGCCUACCAAGGCGACGAUCCAUAGCUGGUCUGAGAGGAUGAUCAGCCACACUGGGACUGAGACACGGCCCAGACUCCUACGGGAGGCAGCAGUGGGGAAUAUUGGACACUGGGCGAAAGUCUGAUCCAGCAAUGCCGCGUGAGUGAUGAAGGCCUUAGGGUUGUAAAGCUCUUUUACCCGGGAUGAUAAUGACAGUACCGGGAGAAUAAGCUCCGGCUAACUCCGUG